CAGGGAGAGAUGGAGACAAUAGGU
RNAcentral lists this non-coding RNA (24 nucleotides) under Arabidopsis thaliana (thale cress). Lineage: Eukaryota; Viridiplantae; Streptophyta; Magnoliopsida; Brassicales; Brassicaceae. The record is from RNAcentral.